RNAcentral lists this transfer RNA (82 nucleotides) under Oryctolagus cuniculus (rabbit). It matches the Rfam family "tRNA". From Rfam's summary of the family: Transfer RNA (tRNA) molecules are approximately 80 nucleotides in length. Their secondary structure includes four short double-helical elements and three loops (D, anti-codon, and T loops). Further hydrogen bonds mediate the characteristic L-shaped molecular structure. tRNAs have two regions of fundamental functional importance: the anti-codon, which is responsible for specific mRNA codon recognition, and the 3' end, to which the tRNAs corresponding amino acid is attached (by aminoacyl-tRNA synthetases). tRNAs cope with the degeneracy of the genetic code in two manners: having more than one tRNA (with a specific anti-codon) for a particular amino acid; and 'wobble' base-pairing, i.e. permitting non-standard base-pairing at the 3rd anti-codon position. The record is from Rfam by way of RNAcentral. Lineage: Eukaryota; Metazoa; Chordata; Mammalia; Lagomorpha; Leporidae.
GGAGCUGUGGCAUAGUGGGUAAUGCUUCUGCCUGCAAUGCUGGCAUCCCGUAUGGGCAAUGGUUCAAGACCUGACUGCUCCA